This 253-nucleotide ribosomal RNA is filed under the name uncultured bacterium. RNAcentral describes it as "partial 16S ribosomal RNA". It matches the Rfam family "Bacterial small subunit ribosomal RNA", at positions 524 to 776 of the family's 1533-position model. The record is from RNAcentral.
UACAGAGGUCUCAAGCGUUGUUCGGAUUCAUUGGGCGUAAAGGGUGCGUAGGUGGCGCCGUAAGUCGGGUGUGAAAUUUCGGAGCUUAACUCCGAAACUGCAUUCGAUACUGCGGUGCUUGAGGACUGGAGAGGAGACUGGAAUUUAUGGUGUAGCAGUGAAAUGCGUAGAGAUCAUAAGGAAGACCAGUGGCGAAGGCGGGUCUCUGGACAGUAACUGACGCUGAGGAGCGAAAGCGUGGGGAGCGAACAGG